AUUUCAGCACCUUGUCCUCUGCAAAGUUAUAACAAAAGCCUGCCUCAAAGCUCAUAAAGGUUGCAGCGAGGCCAACGUUGAAGAUCAAAUUGCCGAAUUUUUAAAAUAUGCUCCAGGCAAGCAAGAUGGUUCCAGAUUUAAGGUAACAUGUCAUUGUCAUCAUAGAUUGCUGGGUCUGAAAGGCAACUUAUUGUAAUCGGCUUAAUUAGCAUUUUUAGCAUUAAACUUUAGUUCGUAUCAUUGGAAAGGCUGUUUUAUGAUUUCACAAAUAUUGCAUCAUUAAUUGUAUGUUAAAUUAGCGUCGGAGAAACGCUGUAUGAACGUUGUACAAACGUCGGGUUUAGGUUGAAAAUACGUUGCAUCCCAACGUUUAUUGACAUUGAUGACAGUCAUUAUUACGCACUACUCACUGGCACUUUAUAACCACAAUGAGCCUAGCAUUUGCCUAAAAACAGAUGUCUCGUUGAAAAGGUGGUGCUGCUCCAUUAAUGGUUUAUGUGCUUGAGGUAACUGGAUGCCCUUGGAGGCUUCCAGCCGUUUAAAUUAUUUGAAAAUUCUUGAGGUAUUGUUUGCCCUUUAGUCAUUUUCUUUAGAACUAAAAGGUCAUCAUGUUAAACUAAUAAUUGAUGAUACUACCGCUGUAGCUUGCAUUAACCAAUAGGGCACAUGCCACUCAAUAUCAGUUCACAA
Xenia sp. Carnegie-2017 is the source of this 690-nucleotide long non-coding RNA. RefSeq lists it as uncharacterized. The transcript has 3 exons. NCBI's taxonomy places the organism in Eukaryota, Metazoa, Cnidaria, Anthozoa, Malacalcyonacea, Xeniidae. The record is from RefSeq and is a predicted model, not a curated record.